CCCUUGCCUUUCGCCUUGAUUGUGUGUGCUUGUGCGCGUUUCUUUGUCUCUUCGUCCCCUUAUUGUAGCCACAGCUGCGCCCCCUCCCCCCCCCUCUGCCGCCUGGUCACUCCUCCUUAUCGCAUCCUUCACAUCCUCAUGUCAGCCUGCAUCCGUACUGCUCUCUCCGGCACUAACGUGCCGAUGAUGGCCGCGGGGCUCUCUGGCGGCCUCGGUGUGGUGCUCGGUGCCCUCGGCUCGCACGCGUUUCUCGAGCUUAUGGACACGAACCAGUUUAAGGCGUACAACAUAGCGAACCAGUACCACCUCGUCCAUUCCGUGGCGAUGCUUGUGGUGGCGGCGAUAGCGCCCCGCGUCGCAGAGCCGGCCGCUACCCACUUCCGUCGCGCCUAUGCCCUCUUCGCCUGUGGCACAGUGGUGAUGGCUAGCUCGCGCUACAUCUACAGCACGGUACACAAGCCACACUUCCUGAGCAAGCUCCCCACUGUGGGUGGUGCGAUGCUCGCGGCCGGAUGGGUGUGCGUCGCUCUUGGCGGCUCCGUCACGAAGCACUAGGAAGAAAGAGAAGCGGUGCCCUGCGCAUGGCAAGCAAGGAGAGAGAGCGGAAAGGCAAGCGUGCAUUGCUCGCACUUAAAAUGCGGCAGCGUUGGUUGCGCUGCACCCUCUCCCUGCCUCGAUUCCUGUCAAGGGUAGAGGGACGCGCACGUGGGCCGGAAUGGGAGCAAGAGGGAGGGACGGUGAUGAGGAUGCCGAAGCAAGCGGAAGAAACAAGUUGGGAGGGAGAGAAAAAGAUGGGAUAGAAGAUGUGGAGGAAGUAGCACUCAAGUGAGAAUCGAUGCCGUGCGCCGCUGCAAAACAGGCGGCGGCAGACCUCUUUUUCUUCGUCUUUCUGUUGCUGAUACCGCUCAUUCCCCCCACCCUCUCCUCACCUCGCCCUCUUUUUUUCACGUGCGCUGCUUAGCGUGUACACGUGCACAUGGGGUUUGCGCGUCGCUCGCUACAAUGAGCACACGCACAAAUCCGAAAAGGGCAGAUACUGACGUUUUUUGUGUGUGUGUAUGUGGGUCUUCCCGACGUUCCCUUUCUGUCCUCAUCCCCCCUUUGCUGUCGUCUGUGUCUUUUGCUCGUGCUGAUGUUGGAGUGCGUCCAACAGCACCGACACUUCGCGGGAACGUUGCCGAAGCUCCCAUCCUGCCCCCUCCCCUUUCGGAAAACGGGGGGAGAAGAGGUGCAGCAUCUUCGCUUGGCGCCGUGCAUCGGCUUAUUUCGUAUAUUUCGUGUGUGUGUGUGUGUGUGUGUUUUGUGCGCCUCCUUCUAUUUUCGAUAUUUGCGAGCGUGAUGGCGGUAAUCUUAUUUUUCUCGCGUGUGCGUGUGCGUUGUUGUUGUUCUCCAAUGAUGAUGGUGAUGGGGCGCUGAUUGACUGUCAUCGCUCUUGUUGUAUUUUCCUUGUCAUGAGCGGUUUGGCUGUGAGAGAUGACGAAAGCGAAAGGGAGAGUACCGCGGUGGCGGGGAGAGUGAGCGUAGCACGCCUGGGAGGGAGGGAGGAGGCUGCUGUGUGGUACCGGCGCGUUCGCUUGUGCGGCUGAGGCCACCUUUUUGCGAGGGUGGGCAGCUGCAGCCGUGGCACACGUGGCAUCUCGCACCCCCUCCCAACCCGAAACCUGCACGUGGUCAUUCAGUGUCCCAUCCUUGAAAACUCGCGCCUCGAUGAUUGCCCUCCGAAACGUAGCGGGAAAAACGACGCUCCUGCAAAAAAAAAGUCUAUACACACAUAUACACAUAUAUAUAUAAACAAGAGCGAAAGAAUGCCAGGACACAAGAGGUGCUCCGACACGCCGUGGACGAGCAUAGGAUAGCGAGUGCGACGCAAAAAAAAAAAAAUCUUAAAGAAAAAGAGGGAGGGAGAACAACGUGUUGUGAUCGGCAAUCACCAACGUAGAAAAAUGCGGUCAGCAACCGGAGGCGAGCGGGUAGGAGGAAUGCGCCAUUUUGUUGAUCGCUUGCUCACAUGCACCUGGCAUCGCCCAUGGCAAAGCAAUAUAAAAAAAAUGAGAAAGUGAGUACUCGGCAGAUGUCGAGAUCGCACGGCAGCUCGUGAAGGACGUGUCUGUGUUCGUGUCUUUGCCUCAGCGUCUGCCACUAGCGCAAUGUGGUGUCUUCUCUUUCUUGCUUUGGGGGGCUUCUUGUUUCUUCGCUUUCAUCUCGCCCGUUGUGUUCCGCAUGCGCGCACCUCCCUCUCUGAUUUUUUCCCUCCGUGAUGAAUGGUUGUAGUUGGAGCUCAUAAUGCCCCGCGUAGGCGCACUG
Molecule: unclassified non-coding RNA, 2304 nt
Filed under: Leishmania donovani
Lineage: Eukaryota; Euglenozoa; Kinetoplastea; Trypanosomatida; Trypanosomatidae
Description: gene:LdHU3.28.2070(CDS-product:Protein_of_unknown _function_(DUF423)_putative)
Source: RNAcentral